UCAUUAUUGAAUAAACCUGAUGGGUUGUUGCUGGUUUCUAGGAGCAUGUGCACGCCUGUCAUCUUUAUCCAUCCACCUGUGCACAUUUUGUAGUCUUGGAGUAAUGAGCGUAUAACAUAUCGAGGGACCAACUUUGGUCCUCGGACAGAGGCCUGCCAUGCAAUAGUGUGGCUUUCCUUAAUACUUGCGCAAGUUCUCUGAGUCUAUGUCUUUCAUAUACCACAUCAAAUGUAAUAGAAUGCUUUUAUUGGGACCUAGUGCCUAUAUAAUGAAAUACAACUUUCAGCAACGGAUCUCUUGGCUCUCGCAUCGAUGAAGAACGCAGCGAAAUGCGAUAAGUAAUGUGAAUUGCAGAAUUCAGUGAAUCAUCGAAUCUUUGAACGCACCUUGCGCUCCUUGGUAUUCCGAGGAGCAUGCCUGUUUGAGUGUCAUUUAAUUCUCAACCCCUCCAGCUUUUCGUGGCUGGCUUGGUGGCUUGGAUGUGGGGGAUUCUUGCGGGCCUCUAAGAGGUCGGCUCCCCUGAAAUGCAUUAGUGGAACCGUUUGCGGGACCGUUCACUGGUGUGAUAAUUAUCAUCACCGAAGACAACCGCUCUCAUGUAGUUCUGCUUCUAAUCGUCCUUUCCCAUGGACAAUAAUGUUUGAAUGCUUGACCUCAAAUCAGGUAGGACUACCCGCUGAACUUAAGCAUAUCAAUAAGCGGAGGAAAAGAAACUAACAAGGAUUCCCCUAGUAACUGCGAGUGAAGCGGGAAAAGCUCAAAUUUAAAAUCUGGCGGUCUUUGGCCGUCCGAGUUGUAAUCUAGAGAAGCGUCACCCGCGCUGGACCGUGUACAAGUCUCCUGGGAUGGAGCGUCAUAGAGGGUGAGAAUCCCGUCUCUGACACGGACUACCAGGGCUUUGUGGUGCGCUCUCAAAGAGUCGAGUUGUUUGGGAAUGCAGCUCUAAACGGGUGGUAAAUUCCAUCUAAAGCUAAAUAUUGGCGAGAGACCGAUAGCGAACAAGUACCGUGAGGGAAAGAUGAAAAGAACUUUGGAAAGAGAGUUAAACAGUACGUGAAAUUGCUGAAAGGGAAACGCUUGAAGUCAGUCGCGUUGGCCGGGGAUCAGCCUCGCUCUUGCGUGGUGUACUUCCUGGUUGACGGGUCAGCAUCAAUUUUGGCCGCUGGAAAAAGGAUUAGGGAAUGUGGCAUCUUCGGAUGUGUUAUAGCCCUUUUUCAUAUACAGCGGUUGGGAUUGAGGAACUCAGCACGCCGCAAGGCCGGGUUUCGACCACGUUCGUGCUUAGGAUGCUGGCAUAAUGGCUUUAAUCGACCCGUCUUGAAACACGGACCAAGGAGUCUAACAUGCCUGCGAGUGUUUGGGUGGAAAACCCGAGCGCGUAAUGAAAGUGAAAGUUGAGAUCCCUGUCGCGGGGAGCAUCGACGCCCGGACCAGAACUUUUGGGACGGAUCUGCGGUAGAGCAUGUAUGUUGGGACCCGAAAGAUGGUGAACUAUGCCUGAAUAGGGUGAAGCCAGAGGAAACUCUGGUGGAGGCUCGUAGCGAUUCUGACGUGCAAAUCGAUCGUCAAAUUUGGGUAUAGGGGCGAAAGACUAAUCGAACCAUCUA
Molecule: ribosomal RNA, 1607 nt
Filed under: Tulostoma melanocyclum
Lineage: Eukaryota; Fungi; Basidiomycota; Agaricomycetes; Agaricales; Agaricaceae
Description: eukaryotic LSU rRNA
Rfam family: Eukaryotic large subunit ribosomal RNA (bases 650-1607)
Source: RNAcentral